Non-coding RNA from Cladobotryum mycophilum, 97 nucleotides. The record is from the annotation of a GenBank genome assembly. Lineage: Eukaryota; Fungi; Ascomycota; Sordariomycetes; Hypocreales; Hypocreaceae.
GCCAAGAUGGCCGAGUGGUCUAAGGCGAUGGUUUUAAGUGUUACUACUUAAGUCACCAUUAUCGAGAGAUGCCGGGGUUCGAACCCCCGUCUUGGCA